This 817-nucleotide ribosomal RNA is filed under the name uncultured bacterium. Its description in RNAcentral is "bacterial SSU rRNA". It matches the Rfam family "Bacterial small subunit ribosomal RNA", at positions 57 to 867 of the family's 1533-position model. The record is from RNAcentral.
GCAAGUCGAGGGGCAGCAGGAUUGUAGCAAUACAGUUGCUGGCGACCGGCAAACGGGAUGCGGAACACGUACGCAAUCUACCCAAAACUGGUGAAUAGCCCUCCGAAAGGAGGAUUAAUACACCGUAACUUAAUGAGGUGGCAUCACUUUAUUAAUAUAGCUCCGGCGGUUUUGGAUGAGCGUGCGCCUGAUUAGGUAGUUGGCGGGGUAACGGCCCACCAAGCCUGCGAUCAGUAACUGGUGUGAGAGCACGACCAGUCACACGGGCACUGAGACACGGGCCCGACUCCUACGGGAGGCAGCAGUAAGGAAUAUUGGUCAAUGGACGCAAGUCUGAACCAGCCAUGCCGCGUGAAGGAUGAAGGUCCUCUGGAUUGUAAACUUCUUUUAUAGGGGACGAAACCCGGGUAUUCUUACCCGAUUGACGGUACCCUAGGAAUAAGCACCGGCUAACUCCGUGCCAGCAGCCGCGGUAAUACGGAGGGUGCAAGCGUUAUCCGGAUUCACUGGGUUUAAAGGGUGCGUAGGAGGGCAGGGAAGUCAGUGGUGAAAUCUCCGGGCUUAACUCGGAAACUGCCGUUGAUACUCUCUGUCUUGAGUCCCGUGGAGGUGAGCGGAAUAUGUCAUGUAGCGGUGAAAUGCUUAGAUAUGACAUAGAACACCAAUUGCGAAGGCAGCUCGCUACACGAAGAUUGACUCUGAGGCACGAAAGCGUGGGGAUCAAACAGGAUUAGAUACCCUGGUAGUCCACGCCCUAAACGAUGGAUACUCGACAUACGCGAUACACUGUGUGUGUCUGAGCGAAAGCAUUAAGUAU